GCAGUCGAACGAUGAUGCCCAGCUUGCUGGGUGGAUUAGUGGCGAACGGGUGAGUAACACGUGAGUAACCUGCCCCUGACUCUGGGAUAAGCGUUGGAAACGACGUCUAAUACUGGAUAUGACUGCCGGCCGCAUGGUCUGGUGGUGGAAAGAUUUUUUGGUUGGGGAUGGACUCGCGGCCUAUCAGCUUGUUGGUGAGGUAAUGGCUCACCAAGGCGACGACGGGUAGCCGGCCUGAGAGGGUGACCGGCCACACUGGGACUGAGACACGGCCCAGACUCCUACGGGAGGCAGCAGUGGGGAAUAUUGCACAAUGGGCGAAAGCCUGAUGCAGCAACGCCGCGUGAGGGAUGACGGCCUUCGGGUUGUAAACCUCUUUUAGUAGGGAAGAAGCGUAAGUGACGGUACCUGCAGAAAAAGCACCGGCUAACUACGUGCCAGCAGCCGCGGUAAUACGUAGGGUGCAAGCGUUGUCCGGAAUUAUUGGGCGUAAAGAGCUCGUAGGCGGUUUGUCGCGUCUGCUGUGAAAUCCCGAGGCUCAACCUCGGGCUUGCAGUGGGUACGGGCAGACUAGAGUGCGGUAGGGGAGAUUGGAAUUCCUGGUGUAGCGGUGGAAUGCGCAGAUAUCAGGAGGAACACCGAUGGCGAAGGCAGAUCUCUGGGCCGUAACUGACGCUGAGGAGCGAAAGCGUGGGGAGCGAACAGGAUUAGAUACCCUGGUAGUCCACGCCGUAAACGUUGGGCGCUAGAUGUAGGGACCUUUCCACGGUUUCUGUGUCGUAGCUAACGCAUUAAGCGCCCCGCCUGGGGAGUACGGCCGCAAGGCUAAAACUCAAAGGAAUUGACGGGGGCCCGCACAAGCGGCGGAGCAUGCGGAUUAAUUCGAUGCAACGCGAAGAACCUUACCAAGGCUUGACAUACACCGGAAACGGCCAGAGAUGGUUGCCCCCUUGUGGUCGGUGUACAGGUGGUGCAUGGUUGUCGUCAGCUCGUGUCGUGAGAUGUUGGGUUAAGUCCCGCAACGAGCGCAACCCUCGUUCUAUGUUGCCAGCGCGUUAUGGCGGGGACUCAUAGGAGACUGCCGGGGUCAACUCGGAGGAAGGUGGGGAUGACGUCAAAUCAUCAUGCCCCUUAUGUCUUGGGCUUCACGCAUGCUACAAUGGCCGGUACAAAGGGCUGCGAUACCGUAAGGUGGAGCGAAUCCCAAAAAGCCGGUCUCAGUUCGGAUUGAGGUCUGCAACUCGACCUCAUGAAGUCGGAGUCGCUAGUAAUCGCAGAUCAGCAACGCUGCGGUGAAUACGUUCCCGGGCCUUGUACACACCGCCCGUCAAGUCAUGAAAGUCGGUAACACCCGAAG
RNAcentral lists this ribosomal RNA (1357 nucleotides) under Curtobacterium citreum. RNAcentral describes it as "partial 16S ribosomal RNA". It matches the Rfam family "Bacterial small subunit ribosomal RNA", at positions 57 to 1426 of the family's 1533-position model. RNAcentral also lists the same sequence under 1 other name. Lineage: Bacteria; Bacillati; Actinomycetota; Actinomycetes; Micrococcales; Microbacteriaceae. The record is from RNAcentral.